GUGGGGGGGGAGUAAGGAGAUGCUCGCCCAACCUGGGGGCGCCGCGGCCCCUCCACCCCCCACCCAACCCCACCUCCUGACCCCACGGCCGCCCAGGGGCGCGCCAGGGAGAAGGGGGAGCGCGCGGAAGCCCCGACUUGAGGUCUGCCCGAGAAGGAGCCGUCGCGGCCGCCCGGCGGUGACCUUUCCUACGUGACAAACUAACCUGACCCCGGAGGGCCUGCGCCAUCCUCUCCUCCCCUUUCCCUCACCGCCCAGGCCCUUUGCCUGAUGAUGACACCCUACUCGGGGAGAAAAUAAGUUCACGGGAAUUUUAAGGAUGGAACCUCCCAAAUGCCUGGCCACUGAGAGAGAAAGCUGAAGAACCACCGCUCUAGCCCCAUGAAAGGGUCCAAGGACCGCUUGAACACAGGCCCCAACAAAUGAAUGCACAUUUUACAGAAGGCCCUGUCUGUUCAGUGAACUGAGUUGCUUGGCUGUUCUGUGAAAUAAAGCCAUCCGUACCACAUUGUCUAAGUAGUGCUGCCACCUUGCGACGUCACUGUGUCCCUCUUACUGGUGAAAAUCACUCCCAGGCUCCUCUGUGGUCCAUUAUUCCCUUCCGCUCUAUUGAAGACAUUGUCCCAUGUGCUGUUGGGAAAGUUGAACAAAAGGAGCAGCGGUCACCAUGCAGGGAGAACACGGCCAAGCACAGAGCGGCCCUGUGCAAACCCGUGGAGAUCAAGACAGGCAAGCAGCCCCGAGCUUCGCCAGGCGCGUUGGACAGCCCAAGGGAAUGCUGGGAAAGUUCCAAAGCCAUAGAAAAGCCUUGCCUGACCUAGCCGGCUGGGACUCCCUUCCCAUGGGGCCAGAAUCCAGGAAGAUGGAGCGCCAACCAUCUGCCAUGUGAUCGGUUGCCACAAGAGGGAGAUGAGCUUUCUGAAGAAUUUCAUCUUGGCAAUUUGGCUGUCGGCCUGAGAACAGCUCGGUUAGCCCUGCUGACCCACUCCCACCCCAACCACUGGAUUCCAUGUGCUCAGAACAAAAACUAAAAAGCAGAACCAGUGCCUUAGCGGGGACUCCCGGAGGCAGUUCCUGAAGUGAGGAUCCGUGUAAAAGGCUUAGGGGGUGUCUCUGCGAUGAGGAAACAGACAGAAGCAAUGCCACUCAUAACCACACUAAUGCGCGUGGAGAUGAGUUCGGCUCAGUUCCACAGAGGAAUUCUUUGAGGGCGGCAUAUACAAGAGCAGUCUGGGUCAAGAACAAGAAGUUGGAAUGUGUACAUUCGUACAUACAUACAGUUUUAUUUCAUGUAUAUGGGUGUUUUGCUUGCAUGCAUGUCUGUACACCAUAUGCGUGCCUAGUGCUUACAGAGGCCAAAAGAUGACAUUGGACCCCCUGGAACUAGAAUUUACAGAUGGCUGUGGACCACCAUGUGGGUGUUGAGAAUUAAACCCAGCCCUUCUAGAAGAAGCCAUCUCUCAAGCUCCUUAAAAAAAAACAUUUUUCAGAUGGCAAAACUGAGGCUCAGAAACCUGAAAUCAAGUCACUUGUCAAAGCCCUUCAGUGAAUAGGAAAGAGCCAGGAUGCCAGUCUAGUAUGUGUUAACAAAGCCCUUUGCAUUAUAUCAAAAUGUGUCUGGGCCAUGAUUAGUCUUCCCACUGUGCCUUACUACCAGUUCUAUAAACCUUGUCAUGUGUCUAAAGCCAAAUACGUCACCUGUUUUACUUCCCCGGUCAACAGUGGUGCAGCCACCCUUUGGUGUCAGCUUUUCGACUCACCCCUCGGUACUCAAGUUAUUGUACUUCUGACCUCUAAAUGUCUAUUUCCGUAUCAGGGCUGGCAUUGUGUUCCCGAGCUGUGGUAUACAAAAGUGCCCAGCAAGUACCGUAUGCGGGAGGUCCUGGAACCAGUCCUAAAGAGGGCUCAUUAGUGGUGGAUAGCAUCCCAGUGAUACUCUGCGCCAAGGAAUGAGCUCAGAACCCAGGGAAUGAAGCCAAAGUUGGCCGGUCAGUUUGCCAAGCUGGGAGUCCUUGCUCAUGGUUAUCAGCCAAAGGAAGGAUGCCAGUAGAGGGGGUGAGACUGACUGAUGGGGAUGAAGAAGCAGUGAUGCAUCCUGGGAAGCGGGAUCAGGCUCUUCCAUGCUUGCACGUAUCUCGUCAGGAGAGAGUGGCCUCUGAUGUGGGGGUCUUGUGGGCCGAGCGGGAUAUACUUAGCAGAUAGUAGGCGCUUAAAAUAGGAUUGAAAGGUCUUAAUGAAAAUAUGUCCCCUGUUCUCCCAAGGCAAUUUAAUUUUAAUUUGGACCUAAUUUAACUUUUAAAAAUUACCUGGCAUUUAUCUUCACAUUUUCUCAGUAUGUUCUUACACUGUUGUUUAGUGAGUUAUCCAUCUGAAACCAUUAACUUCCUCUUCAAUAGAUGAUAACUCAGUCUGUUAUGUUUCCACCUCCCACUUCCUCUCCUUAUCCCAGAACAAAAAAAAACCCGUGGUGCUGGAAGUGCAGCUCAGUUGGUACAGCGCUUGUCUAGCAUGUGCAUCUCUGGGUUCCAUCCUUAGCACUGGACCUGCUGGUGUACACCAGUAAUUCCAGCAUCUCCCAGGAGGCAAAGGUAGGAGGCUCAGAAGUUCAAAGUCCUCCUCAGCUACAUCGUGAGUUCCAGGACAAAACCAACACCCAAAUAGAAUUCUGGCAGACCAUGCAAUUACUAAUCAUCCCUGUGUGGCAGAGCCAUCACAAGGAACCACCGUCCCCUUGACUGCCACCUCGGUGCUGGAUACUAGAUAACUGCAGUCAGCCCUUGUACCCUCAGAUCUGUCUGAAAUUAUUCAAAUCAGCCAGUCCUAAAUCUGCUUAUCUUCCCUGACCUGAAUGAACCACAGUUGAAACACAAAGCAGACUCUUGCUCACGGCCGUCCGCUAAGCUGGCCUGCUCCUGACCAAGCCUGGGGCUUCUCAGUUUGGCCCCAUGUAGUCAAGCAUGUCCCUCCUCUUUCUCACAUACUCUAACAAGCUCUUUUGGAAGACAGUUCUCUUCUCAGGAGGUUCCUAGUCCUCACUGCAACUGGAUAUACCCUGGCUGGCUGAUAUCCAUGGGAGGUCUUCCUGAAGAGGA
Non-coding RNA from Peromyscus maniculatus bairdii (prairie deer mouse), 3092 nucleotides. NCBI's taxonomy places the organism in Eukaryota, Metazoa, Chordata, Mammalia, Rodentia, Cricetidae. The record is from RefSeq and is a predicted model, not a curated record.